GAGGCUUGCCUUCUAGAAUCGUGG
RNAcentral lists this non-coding RNA (24 nucleotides) under Cricetulus griseus (Chinese hamster). The record is from RNAcentral. Lineage: Eukaryota; Metazoa; Chordata; Mammalia; Rodentia; Cricetidae.